UCUGACCUCUUGCUCUCAGUAACAAGGAUUCAUCCUGUUGUGGAACACAAAUCCAACAGGGAAUCUCUGUUACUGGGGUCAAGGUUCAG
Molecule: microRNA precursor, 89 nt
Organism: Cyprinus carpio carpio
Lineage: Eukaryota; Metazoa; Chordata; Actinopteri; Cypriniformes; Cyprinidae
Source: Ensembl